GCCUUCGUGGUGUAGUGGUCAGCACGCUUGGCGCGUAAUUGAAAGGUCUGUGGUUCGAUUCCCGGUGAAGGUG
RNAcentral lists this transfer RNA (73 nucleotides) under Stegodyphus mimosarum. It matches the Rfam family "tRNA". Rfam says of the family: Transfer RNA (tRNA) molecules are approximately 80 nucleotides in length. Their secondary structure includes four short double-helical elements and three loops (D, anti-codon, and T loops). The record is from Rfam by way of RNAcentral. Lineage: Eukaryota; Metazoa; Arthropoda; Arachnida; Araneae; Eresidae.